This 115-nucleotide Y RNA is filed under the name Phocoena sinus (vaquita). RNAcentral describes it as "Y RNA (ENSPSNG00000011724.1)". It matches the Rfam family "Y RNA". From Rfam's summary of the family: Y RNAs are components of the Ro ribonucleoprotein particle (Ro RNP), in association with Ro60 and La proteins. The Y RNAs and Ro60 and La proteins are well conserved, but the function of the Ro RNP is not known. In humans the RNA component can be one of four small RNAs -- hY1, hY3, hY4 and hY5. Lineage: Eukaryota; Metazoa; Chordata; Mammalia; Artiodactyla; Phocoenidae. The record is from Rfam by way of RNAcentral.
GGCUGGUCCGAAGGUAGUGAGUUAUCUCAAUUGACUGUCUACAGUCAGUUACAGAUCGAACUCCUCGUUCUACUCUUUCCCCCCUUCUCUCACUACUGCACUUGACUAGUCUUAA